GAUGAACGCUAGCUACAGGCUUAACACAUGCAAGUCGAGGGGAAACGGCAUUGAGUGCUUGCACUCUUUGGACGUCGACCGGCGCACGGGUGAGUAACGCGUAUCCAACCUUCCCAUUACUGUGGGAUAACCUGCCGAAAGGCAGACUAAUACCGCAUAGUCUUCGAUGACAGCAUCAGAUUUGAAGUAAAGAUUUAUCGGUAAUGGAUGGGGAUGCGUCUGAUUAGCUUGUUGGCGGGGUAACGGCCCACCAAGGCUACGAUCAGUAGGGGUUCUGAGAGGAAGGUCCCCCACAUUGGAACUGAGACACGGUCCAAACUCCUACGGGAGGCAGCAGUGAGGAAUAUUGGUCAAUGGACGGAAGUCUGAACCAGCCAAGUAGCGUGCAGGAUGACGGCCCUAUGGGUUGUAAACUGCUUUUGUAUGGGGAUAAAGUUAGGGACGUGUCCCUAUUUGCAGGUACCAUACGAAUAAGGACCGGCUAAUUCCGUG
This 492-nucleotide ribosomal RNA is filed under the name uncultured bacterium. Its description in RNAcentral is "partial 16S ribosomal RNA". It matches the Rfam family "Bacterial small subunit ribosomal RNA", at positions 28 to 507 of the family's 1533-position model. The record is from RNAcentral.